GUCGAGAAUCUUUCACAAUGGGGGCAACCCUGAUGGAGCGACGCCGCGUGGAGGAUAAGGUCUUCGGAUUGUAAACUCCUGUCAUGCGUGAACAAGGUUGCUUGGUUAAUACCUGGGCAAAUUGAUGGUAACGCAAGAGGAAGAGACGGCUAACUCUGUGCCAGCAGCCGCGGUAAUACAGAGGUCUCAAGCGUUGUUCGGAAUCACUGGGCGUAAAGGGUGCGUAGGUGGCGUGGUAAGUCAGAUGUGAAAGCCCGGGGCUCAACCUCGGAACUGCAUCCGAUACUGCCAUGCUAGAGUACUGGAGAGGUGACUAGAAUUCUCGGUGUAGCAGUGAAAUGCGUAGAUAUCGAGAGGAAUACCAAAGGCGUAGGCAGGUCACUGGACAGUUACUGACACUGAGGCACGAAGGCCAGGGGAGCGAACGGGAUUAGAUACCCGGUAGUCC
Molecule: ribosomal RNA, 448 nt
Filed under: uncultured bacterium
Lineage: Bacteria
Description: partial 16S ribosomal RNA
Rfam family: Bacterial small subunit ribosomal RNA
Source: RNAcentral